RNAcentral lists this ribosomal RNA (497 nucleotides) under uncultured bacterium. RNAcentral's name for it is "partial 16S ribosomal RNA". It matches the Rfam family "Bacterial small subunit ribosomal RNA", at positions 28 to 507 of the family's 1533-position model. The record is from RNAcentral.
GAUGAACGCUGGCGGCGUGCCUAAUACAUGCAAGUCGAGCGAACAGACGAGGAGCUUGCUCCUCUGACGUUAGCGGCGGACGGGUGAGUAACACGUGGAUAACCUACCUAUAAGACUGGGAUAACUUCGGGAAACCGGAGCUAAUACCGGAUAAUAUAUUGAACCGCAUGGUUCAAUAGUGAAAGACGGUUUUGCUGUCACUUAUAGAUGGAUCCGCGCCGCAUUAGCUAGUUGGUAAGGUAACGGCUUACCAAGGCAACGAUGCGUAGCCGACCUGAGAGGGUCAUCGGCCACACUGGAACUGAGACACGGUCCAGACUCCUACGGGAGGCAGCAGUAGGGAAUCUUCCGCGAUGGGCGAAAGCCUGACGGAGCAACGCCGCGUGAGUGAUGAAGGUCUUCGGAUCGUAAAACUCUGUUAUUAGGGAAGAACAAAUGUGUAAGUAACUAUGCACGUAUUGACGGUACCUAAUCAGAAAGCCACGGCUAACUACGUG